UCGUUUUUAAGGUUAAAAACGCUGUAACUCCUUCAUUUUUUCGAAUUUCGAAAAUUUUCUAGCAUUCCGCAGUUCGAAAUUCGAAGACGCAAAGGCUAACCCCUUAUGAAAAAUUUCAAUUUUUGAUGUGAAAAAAAUUUUCGAGUUGAGUAUAGAGCAUUGAAGAUUAUGGCGAAAAAAUCGGUUUAGCGCAACUCCUAUGUUUUUUCUUCAAAAAACAAGCUCAAAAUCGCAUAAUGGAUAUUCAAAAGAACGCAAGAAAAUCAAUAUGGGCUUGAAGUUGCUAUAACUACUUAGUUUUACGAACUCCAAAUUCUAAGGACACAGUUCGAUUCUUGAAGUAAAUUUCUUUUCGUUAUAGUGCUGGAUGAAACAAUACUCUUUUCAUUUCCUUGGAAACUUUAGAGUAUUACUUCAAAAUCGCAUAAUUGAUAUCCAAAAUUUCAAAAAAAACCUAUACACCGUUGGAUUCGUUGCGAAAAUCUCUUUCCGUAGUGGUGCUACAUGAAGCAAUACUGUAAAGUUUUCUAUGAAAAACAUGGCAAAAAGCAAGCUUUUUUGGGCGUAAAAACUCAAGGUCGUUUUUAAGGUCAAACACGCUGUAACUCCUUCAUUU
This is a long non-coding RNA of Stomoxys calcitrans (stable fly), 616 nucleotides long. RefSeq lists it as uncharacterized. Lineage: Eukaryota; Metazoa; Arthropoda; Insecta; Diptera; Muscidae. The transcript is spliced from 3 exons. The record is from RefSeq and is a predicted model, not a curated record.